GUUUGAAAAUUUUCUUGCGAACAUUUUAAUCUUUUGUUUAAUUAGCCAGUGAGAGAUGGUUUUAUUAAAACUAGUUCAGUUAAGUUUUACGUAUUUUGUAUGAUUUAGUGUGUGGAUUUGGAUAUGCAGUGAAGUGCGUAUUAGUUGUGGCAGGGGGUGGGAUGGGAAUUGUUCCACACCCCAAGUGUCUGUGUUUCUUAUAGCUCAAUAGUCCAAAGAGAUAUUCAAAAGUAGGUACCUAAGAGGUAUUUUCUUUGAACCGCCCUUAUUAUGUACCUGCAAGGAAAAUUGCCAUCUACAUAGUUGUCCCAGUUUCAUAUUUUUCGUUCAUGAAAUUAACUUCAAGUAUUGCAUAAGAUACAGUACUGCGCGCUUGAACAUCCCGCCUGGUAGCACAAGGUAACCUUAUUUUACCAGAUAAUAAUGGUUAUAUUGAAUAAAUGAUAAGAUAAUAUAUAAUACAUUAUUUUUAUCCGUCUAUUGUGAUAAUUUUUGUCUUUCAUAAUUUUAUAUAUAUGAAUUGGGAUAAUUGCCUUAAUUUUUUCUGUGAUAUGUCUUCCCAUGUUAUACCGUAUACUACACAAGGACCACAGUGGAAACAAGUGAAUGCAAUAGAAAGUCCCCUACUGGAAGGCACCUAAUUUUCUCUACUGCAGUGUAACAUAAUGAACUGAUAUCUAUCAAUAAUGUUUAAACAAUAUUGUACUACAUACAUAAUAUGUUAUAACAAAACACUUGGAUUAAAAUUUGCAUAUAUUAAAAUAUUAAAACCUACAGUUGUCUUCAUAUGGAUUUUUUGACCGAUUAUAAAAAAAAGUUAUAAUAUAAGUUAUUUUAAUAUAGUAACAGCAAAGGUAAAUUAAUCCUGCAAAAAUCUAUAUAAUAUAAGUCCAAAAGAAACUUUUUACCAGGUAGACAUGGGUCAAAAUACACCUAAAAAUUGUAUGUAACAUGCAUGUUCUACAACAGAAAAGUAGUCCCGAUUUUUCUCUGCGGCCAGUAAAUGUUACAAUACAAUCUAUUUAAAGUAAAACAAAGGGACGUAAUUCUAAAAACAAUGGUGACUAAUGGUGGUGAACAUUUGUGCCAAGUUACAUCCAUGCAUGAAGAAAUGCUCCGGACAAAGGCAUUUUUGAACUUGAUCUUUGACCUCUAAGUGUGACCUUGACCUUAGACCUAGGGAUCAGGUUCUUGCGCAUGACAAUCCGCAUUAUGGUGGUGAAAAUUUGUGCCAAAUUACAUCAAAACCCCUCCAUGCAUGAAGAAGACAUGCUCUGGACAAAGUCAUUCUUGUAUCUGACCUUUGGUCUCUAAGUGUGACCUUGACCUUAGACCUAGGGACCUGGUUCUUGCGCAUGACACUCCGUCUCAUAAUGGUGAACAUUUGUGCCAAGUAAUAUUAAAGUUGAGUUACAGACUGGACAGGAAAAAAAGCCCUUUUGGCCUUUGAUUUCCAAGUGUGACCUUGCCCUUGCAGAUCAGGGCCCGGAUUUUGCGAAUGACACGUUGUCUCAUCCAGGGGAAUAUUUGUGCCAACUGAUAUUUAAAACCUUUUUGAAUGACAUUGAAGUUAUAGACCGGACAGGAAAAAAAUCCUAUUGACCUUUGACCUCCAAGUGUUACCUUGACCUUUAAGCUAGGGUUCUGGGUGUUGCGCAUAACACGUCGUCUCAUAAUGGGUAACAUUUAUGCCAAGUAAUAUUGUAAUCCCUUGAUUGAUGACUGAGUUCUGGACCGGACAGGAAAAAAUCCUAUUGACCUUUGACCUCUAAUUGUGACCUUGACCUAGGGUCCGGUUUUUGCGCAUGACAUGUCGUCUCAUCAUGGGGAACAUUUUUACCAAGUAAUAUUAAAAUCCCUUCAUGGAUGACAGAGUUAUGGACCGGACACGAAAUUGUGGACGGACAGAAUGACACAGAAAAGCGCAUUCAUAUAGUCCCCGAAACUGGUUAUCAGUAGGGGACGACUAAUAAUGAUAUCUACCUAUUUUUAUGUCAAUCUGUAUGUUAAAAUGUAUAUGACAUGGCUUUAAAUAAAAUGCAUACUUCCUUAUUGUUAUCUGUGUUAAUUGUUAUCUGUAUUGUUAUCUGUAGUAUUUGUUGUUAUAUAUAUUGCCAUGUACCAGAAAUAAAUCUAUAUCUCUCUAUCAGACUAUUUAUCUAUCUUAUCUCGUUUUACCAACCUCCGCGAAAGGGGAAGUAACACUGUGUUGGAGUCUGUUGUAUUGAUAACGCGACAAAUGAAAGAGAUACAGUAACACCUCACCAGUGAAACAUUUUAGAUCCAAAAGAACAUAAAAUAUAAUGAAAUCAGCGUCACCUCGAUAGCCACGCAUGUUUUUUUUUUUUGUUGUUGUUGUUGUUUUCUAGAGAUGAUAUAGGUUUUCAUUACCAGCCUAACUAAAUACACAACUUACUUUUAUGUAUACAGAAUAGCCUCUGAGACAGACUUGAAUUACUAAUUUCAUAUAGCUUUUUGGAGAGUUGAACUAAAACAAAAACAAUGGAAGUAUACUGCGUAUAUCAGAUGCUGAGCUGUAUUAGAAUUUCUGUUAUACAAAAUGUUGCUUUUUUUUCCAUAUGAAAAUAAAAAUAUUAUUACAGUAUAAUUACGCUGACUGGAGUCUUUCUGGACCAAUUAAGACUUGCAUUUCGUUGUGCCAUUUGAUAUAGUAUUACAUCUCAUGCAAACAUGUUUCAGUGGCUUUUGAAAUUCCAUAGACUAUAUAAUAACAUGAUUAAAGCAUGUUAGAGUUUUGGUCUAGUCAAGAGUUUAGAUUUUUUUGUUUCGAAAAUAGUUACAAAUAUAAGUUCACCAGCAUCUUGUUGAAAUAAUAAGAUAAUUUUAAUUCUAAGAGUUUUGAUACGCGCUUAUAUAUAAAAACCGUUCACAGUGACCUAGCAAUUCAGGGGGGAAAACACCUGUACUACCGAAUAUAACUUUGAGCCAUUAGAAAGAGCGCGCCGGGGCAAUACUCGCUAAACACCGGGCAGCGGUGCGAAAAGACGACAUUUAAAAGACAUAACACUGGCGGGGUUGAGGAGUCAUAAGUUGCUAAUUAGCGUUCUGUUUACGUCGAGUUUUCACCUCGUGACCCCGUUGCUUGAGUUUUAGAAUCUCGACUUUUCGCCCCGCGUCCCGCUGAUUAGUGAGUUUUUGCACCGCACCACUGUGAUUAUCAUUUAAACAUAAUAAAUCUCGUAUUUUCGCUUAGCGGGGUCGCAGGGCAAAACCACGAAAUGGCAUAAAUAUGACACCAUAGAAAGUAGAAAAUUUUAAAGAAUGUGAAAUUACAGGAAAACACAGAGUAAAUUAAUUUCGGUUAGUCGGGCAAUUCAAGUGCGACUGAAUCGACGUACUAUGUAAACAUGUAACUUGACACUUGUGUACAUAAUAAUACGUAAUAAAGUGCAGAAGUAGUUAGGUCGCGUUAAAUUAUCUCAAUUUGAUAGCUAAAUGAAGUCGUUUAACUGCGACUGAAAUUAUCUAUUUAUUUUGUGACUAGACAAGGACCAUAACUCUGGUCUUGCUUAGUGCAAUGACACACAAAACUCUAGAUGCACAACUUCACGUGCUGCAUGAAAUUCCUAUAAAGGUUUCAAAUACUUUAAAUAUAACUUGGCACAAAUGUUCACCACCACGAGACAGGGUGUCAUGCGCAAGAACCAGGUCCCUAGGUCUAAGGUCAAGGUCACACUUAGAGGCCAAAGGUCAGAUACAAGAAUGAGUAUGUCCGGAGCAUUUCUUCUUUAUGCAUGGAGGGAUGUAACUUGGCACAAUUGUACACCAUCAUGAGACGGAGUGUCAUGUGCAAGAACCAGGUCCCUAGGUCUAAGGUCAAUGUCACGCUUAUAACCAAAGGUCAGAUACAAGAGUGACUUUGUCCGGAGCAUUUCUUCUUCACGCAUGGAGGGAUUUUGAUAUAACUUGGCACAAUUGUACACCAUCAUGAGACGGAAUGCCAUGUGCAGGUCCUUUCUUUAGAAUUACUUCCUUUUGUUGUUACUAUAUAUAGCUUAUAUUGUAACUUCUUCAUUACUAGUCGUAGGGAAAAAUCGAGACCACUUUUCUGUAGCACAACAUGCAUGUUACAUCCAAUUUUGAGGUGUAUUUUGACCUAUAUCUACCUGGUAAGGAUUUUUUUGUGGACUUACAAUUUUUUCUUUGGAUUUUUUCCCUUUUUACCUCACCUGAGUACGAAGUGCUCAAAGGUGAGCUUUUGUAAUCGCCCUGUGUCCGUCGUCGUCCGUCAGUCGUCCGUCGUCCGUCCGUCGUCAACAAUUUUACUGUUAACACUCUAGAGGUCACAGUUCUGACCCAAUCUUAAUGAAAAUUGGUCAGAAUGUUACCCUCAAUAAAAUCUUGGAUGAGUUCGAUAUUCGGUCAUCUGGGGUCAAAAACUAGGUCACCAGAUCAAAUCAAAGGAAAAGCUUGUUAACACAAGAGUCUAGAGGUCACAGUUUUGGCCCAGUCUUAAUGAAACUUGGUCAGAAUGUUACCCUCAGUAAAAUCUUGGACGAGUUCGAUAUUGGGUCAUCUUGGAUCAAAAACUAGGUCACCAGGUCAAAUCAAAGGAAAAACUUGUUAACACUCUAGAGGUCACAAUUUUGGCCCAAUCUUAAUGAAACUUGGUCAGAAUGUUACUCUCAAUAAAAUCUUGGAAGAGUUUGAUAUUGGGUCAUCUGGGUUCAAAAACUAGGUCACCAGGUUAAAUCAAAGGAAAAGCUUGUUAACACUCUAGAGGGUACAUUUUUGGCCCAAUCUUAAUGACACUUAGUCAGAAUGUAACCCUCAGUAAAAUCUUGGAUAAUUUUGAUAUUGGGUCAUCUGGGGUCAAAAACUAGGUCACCAGGUCAAAUCAAAGGAAAAGCUUGUUAACACUCUAGAGGUCACAAUUAUGGCCCAAUCUUAAUGAAACUUGAUCAGACUGUUACCCUCAAUGAAGUCUUGGACGAGUUUGAUAUUGGGUCAUCUGGGUUCAAAAACUAGGUCACCUGGUCAAAUCAAAGGAAAAGCUUGUUAACACUGUAGAGGCCACAUUCAUGACUGUAUCUUCAUGAAACUUGCUCAGAAUGUUAAUCUUGAUGAUCUCAAGGUCCAGUUUAAAUCUAGGUCAUGUAGGAUCAAAAACUAGGUCACCAGGUCAAAUCAAAGGAAAAGCUAGUUUACACUGUAGAGGCCACAUUUAUGACCAUAUCUUAAUGAAAUUGUUCAGAAAGUUAGUCUUGAGGCUGUAUAGGUCAAGUUCGAAUCUGGGUCAGGUGGGGUCAAAAACUAGGUCACUAGAUCAAAUCAAAGGAAAAGCUUAUAAACACUCUAGAGGCCACAUUUAUGACUGUAUCUUCAUGAAACUUAGUCAGUCAGAAUGUUAAUCUUGAUAAUCUUUCGGUCAAGUUCGAACCUGGGUCAUGUCAGGUUAAAAACUAGGUCACCGAGUCAAAUCAAUGGUAAAGCUUGUUAACACUGUAGAGGCCACAUUUAUGACUGUAUCUUUAUGAAACAUGGUCAAAAUGGUAAUCUUGAUAUUCCCAAGGUGUAGUUUGAAUCUGGGUCAUGUAGAAUUAAAAACUAGGUCACCAGGUCAAAUCAAAGGAAAAGCUAGUUUACACUGUAGAGGCCACAUUUAUGAUAAUAUCUUAAUGAAACUAGGUCAGAGUGUUAAUCUUGAUAAUCUAUAGGUCAAAUUCAAAUCUGGGUCAGGUGGGGUCAAAAACUAGAGCACUAGGGCAAAUCGAAGGAAAAGCUUGCUAACACUGUAGAGGCCACAUUUAUGACCGUAUCUUCAUGAAACUUGGUCAGAAUGGUAAUCUUGAUGAUUUCAAGAUCCAGUUUGAAUCUGGAUCAUGUCGGGUCAAAAAAUAGGUCACUAGGUCAAAUUAAAAGAAAAGCUAGUUCACACUUUAGAGGUCACAUUUAUACCAUAUCUUAAUGAAACUUGGUCAGAGUGUUAAUAUUGAUGGUCUUUUGGUCAAUAGGUCAGGUGAGCGAUACAGGGCCUUCAUGGCCCUCUUGUUUCAUUCAUAUAAACGGCGGUGUCUAACUUACCAGUUAGCGCAUGAUACCCUACCCAGUCACAGUAUACUGACACCAGGCUGACCAGUCCUAAAGUGUACUAUACUCUAAAUGCUGAGCGCCCAGCGAGGAAGCUUCACUUCAGUACAAAUUUCACGUUUUUGACCGGGUCGAACAUACAACAAUAUAGUUAUUUACAGUCUGAUUAAAAUCAUCUCCUAAAACAUCGCAUUUGUGCAGUCAGUUUUGAAUAAAAGUCAAGGAGCAUCAUUUACAUUCUUCAAAACAUUAAGGCAUUCGUAAAUUAUGUAAAAUGGAACACAAAUGACAAAAGUAAAAGCUUUAUCUAUAGUCAUAUCAAUGUUUCGAGUCACUUUUUUCUGUAUUAUUUAACAAGUGCUAAACAGGCAUGUUAACCCUUAUGCCAACGUUGGUACUAUCUAGACAACUAACAUCAAUUUUCCAGCCAAUGAUUAUUUAUUCGACAAUUUGAUAACAGUUAAAGUUAUAACUAUAUAAAAUGUAUAUGUAUUUAUUUAAAUUGUUUAUAUAGCAAUUAAAAUUCAUAAAAGA
Long non-coding RNA from Mercenaria mercenaria, 6585 nucleotides. RefSeq lists it as uncharacterized. Lineage: Eukaryota; Metazoa; Mollusca; Bivalvia; Venerida; Veneridae. The record is from RefSeq and is a predicted model, not a curated record. The transcript is spliced from 2 exons.